Long non-coding RNA from Apis dorsata (giant honeybee), 4160 nucleotides. RefSeq lists it as uncharacterized. The transcript is spliced from 5 exons. Lineage: Eukaryota; Metazoa; Arthropoda; Insecta; Hymenoptera; Apidae. The record is from RefSeq and is a predicted model, not a curated record.
CUUUUCAAAUUUUCCCUCAAGUUAUGUUAUAAUUUUGUACUACUUAUUCUUAGAUCAGUUACUAUAAUCAUUUGUAUUUGUGUUUCGAACUUGCCACUUUAUAAUAGCGUUUCGUAUAUCAUGAUCGAUGUAUUCAGUGCAGUAAAACAUAUUAGUCCGAAUAGCUUGAUUGAUGUCUCUUGUGUCCAUAUCACAUUACUAUUACAAGGAUUGAUGUACAUUUUAAAUCUAAUAUAUAACCUAGCAAUAGAUAUUAAUAAAUAGCUUGUGAUUUUAUAAGAACUGUUCAUUAAAUCAUAAACGGAAAGGUAAUGAAAUAAAUACCACCAUCAAUUGAAUAUAGCAAGAACUUUAUAAAAGACGAGGCAGACUCACAGAUGGUUUAAGUAUAUUAGUAUAUGUCUCAAAACUCUGAGAAACGUAUGACGGUUUUGUAUUCGCAUUUUUUUUAUUCUUUUUUUUUGUUUUUUUUUUCUUUCAAAUAGAUCACACAUGAAAAAAAGUUGUUGCAUAAAGAGAUGUGUUUAUAUCGUGCGUAAAAAGUACGAACAUACAUCAAUCGAAAAAGAGUUAUUAGUCAAGGAUAGAAGCUGAAAAAGGAAACGCUCGACUAGAUUUGAUAAACUCCCUCUUGUUAUGUUAUAUUAUAAAUUGUCGAAAUUAACAUGUUUCUCUUCUUAUCUAACCUUAACGACCAAAACUCAUUGACGUUAUCGUAAAAAAUAUACAUAUAUGUUCAUGGUCGUCGAUCGUUUGCAAAUUAUUUAUUACUUAUCGUUUAUCAGUUAUUAUCAUAUCUUAGAAAAAUAAUUGUUUAUUUCUAAUUGUACAAGAGAAAGCAUGACAAUAAAGUAUGAGAAUACUGGUAAUAUUGUAACGAAAGAGGGAGUUCUAUUAUUAAGAAAAAACGUGACUUUCGCUCCUAUUGGAGGAAUAUUGGGAAAAAUGUACAACAAGGAAAAUUAUUUCGAAUAAAGUAAUUUGCUUCGCAAGCGAUUGUAGUUUUGUAAAUUAAUGUGUGAAUCAUUUUUAUCGCGAAAAUGACAAGGAAAUUGAUAUUAUUUUAUGAUAUCAUCGUCCAUCAGCGCGAUAUGACGUGAAACUUCAGAAUAAGAAGAAACUUCGAUAGAAUAUCGAGUGAAAAAUCGAUUUUCAGUAUUUCGAUUUUUAUCAUGAUCUUCGAUACUUAUCGAUUUCUGUUAGUUAAGUCGGGUUAUGGAGCAUUGAUAUUUGUGAAUAUAUUUGAUAGAAUAAAAUAAAAAGAAAAAAAUUAGUACAAUUUUGAAAGAUUUGAGAAAUAAGGAUGUGAGAAAAUAUUUUUAAAAAUUAUAAAAUUAAUGAAUUAAGAAAUAAGAAAAUAAAAAGAGAACAAAAAAAAGCAAGAAUAGUGUGACCUAAACGAAAAAAAAAAAAAUGAUUCAAAAUGCAUAUUCAUUUAAUUUUCAAAUAGUUAAUCCUAAAUAGUAAUAGUUAAUCAAAUUCCAUAAAUCUUGUAAAUUUUCUAGAAUUUUUAACGAUAAAUAUGCACUAUCGAUUAUACUCUUCAUUUUAUAUCUCGUUUUUAAGGAAAACCGAUAACCUAGAAACAAGUACAAUAUUAACGUCCUUCCUCUCCUCUGAAUCCCAACGUUUUUGAAAAAAGUUACAAACGCGGAAUAUCGAUAGACAAAAAUUAAUUAUGCGACGCUGGAGUGGGGAAGAGCAAUAUCGGAUGGAAUUCAUGGAACGAACGGAAAAUAGAAGCCGAUUUUUCGAAUUCAUCGAUUCAUCGAUUCAUCAAUGGAUCGUUCAAUAUCGCAUAUCGAUUUCCAAAGGUCAAUUGACAUAUGAUGACGUAAAAGAAUCGGAAACUUAAUAAAACAAUUUUAUUCUGAAGAAAGAGGUUAUGAAUGAUGGAAAAGAAAAUAUAUAAAUGCUUGAAAAAUAUGAUGGUAAGAGAUGGAAUCAAGAAUCAAAUCAGAGAGAGAGAAAGAGAGAGAGGAAUGAAGCUCCUUGACCCGACUGAUUUGAUAAAUUCCAAGCAUUUCUGCCAUUCUAUAGCAUAGUUAUAUGUGUAAAUAUGUAUUCCGCUUCAUGUUCUAUGUUUCUUAGCGAUGAUGACCCGCACCCGGCCCUCGCGAGAAUGAGUUUAAUUGACUGAAGUGCCGAGCCGAAUCACGGGUACACUUUGAAGCAUGUAUGGAAGUUCGUUAAUAUCGACGAUAUAUGGGAGAUAAGACAGGUUAAUUUACUAAUUUGUUACAAUAUUUUAAAUGUCAAUAUCCAAUUAAUUCUCAUUUGAUUUAUGCAUAUUAUUCGAAUUUUGUAUAUUAUUUACGUAAUAACCUAACUUUUUAAUGCAAUUAAAUGAAUUGGAUUUUUUUGGAAUAUGUACGACACGAAUGAAUGAGAUUUCUAGAUUAUUAAGAAACAAAAAUAAGAAGAUAUGGAAAAUCUAGUGUGUGAAUAAACGUAACUAUAGAAUGUUUCGUAAUAUCAGAUGUCGAGGCUUUUGAAAAUUGAAUACCACUUGAACUAACUGAAAUGCUUGCGCUGUUGCUAUUUUAGAUAUCCAAAACAUCCAGAUAUUAGAUACCUUACGUAUUCCGAAUAUUGAAUAGAAUAUUUCAUGUUCCAGAUAUUCGAAUUCCGUUUCUUUUAAGGUUCUUUGUGUCGUCGUGAAAUGACGAAGAAAAAGAAGUAUAAACGGAUAAACGUAAUCUUGACAGCUUUACGAAUUUAAGUUAAGGCGCUAUAUUAAAAUGGAAAUAAGAUUUCGUGGGAAUCUCAGCCGUCUGCAAUCUUGAAUAAAUUUUUGCUGAUUCGAAAGCAAGCAUUUUUUAUAAUGGCUACGAUUUGCAAUACGAUACAAAAUGACACAAAAAAACAAAGGUAAUUACUGGCGAAACGAGUUUAUUUAUUGCUUUUAUCUUCGCCAAUCAUAUCACGUGCUUUCUUAUCGUUUAAGCCUGAAAGCUAUGAAAAAAGAGAUAGAAUAUUAGAUAGAAUAAGUAGAACGUAAUUUUUCCGCGAUUAACGUUCAAGCGAAAAUUAUGUUGGAAAUUAAACCAUACAAUAUGGUAGAUAUAUUAUCAGAAAUUAUAACACAUAUUGUACCAAAAUCAAAAAGAAGCCGGGGAAUAUGGUUGCAGUUAAGAGAGAUAUGAUAAUGCGAAUUAUAUAACGAAGAUUACGCGAGAUUUAUAUAAUGAAUUUAACAACAGAUAUCGUCGAGUUAAUGUCUAAUUGAAGAAUAUAAUUAUUUUUUUAUCGUUGGAAACGAAACGAUAAUGCCACGAUCAUGCGAUUCGCUUGAAAUCCUUCUCCGCUUCGCGCAUACUAUAGGCACAACUCUCUUUUAUUUAAAUUUCAUUCUUAAAUCAUCAACAGUUUAGUACAGUUAUAUAAUAUGUACAAAGUAUACAGACUCCGCUACUUCAGAGGAGGGACACAACUUUCAUGCGAUGUAUCGUUUUUUUCUCGAAUGAAUUGCUGCUUCCAGUUAAAAGCACCGGUUCGAAUUUCGCGGAUCUUGCCAUUCUCGUUGCUUAUUAAAAUUGUCUCGAAUGACUCUGUCGAAGUGGAAAUAAAAGAAUAGCUUUGAACGAGGAAACGAAGAGAAUUUAAUCUACCGUUAAAAUUUUUCUUUGAAAAUUAUCUCAUAGAAAUAACUAUAUAUUUUUCAGAAUCUACUUUAUCAAGAUCGAACAGACAAUUCCGAUUCCAAGAGCAUAAUCCAAGGAUAGAAUGAAAUCGGAGAUGUAUCGACAUCAAAAAUCGAAGUAAUUUUCGUAAGCAUGAAAUGCAAGGAAGAAAUGAAAAGACAUUAUUUUGGGGAGGAAAGCUAUCAGCUUUCUCAUCGGUGCUUUUAAUCAGGUAUUGGGGGGAGGGUCGACGAGUUUCGUGUGUACAAGCAAGCACCGAUUCAACUACACACGUGCGCGGUACACGACGAUUCAUGGUGGACUGUUAGACGUAAUAUCUAACGUGUGAACUAACUGGUGUAUCGAUCGUCUUGCUACUGAUGCGAUGUAUACUGAUGCAAGACGUGCACGUAUCGGAUGGAGGAAAGAACAGGAUACGAAGCUUUCAAAUGGGACAUCAUAUCGGCAUCAAGAUAGAAGAGAUAAGGAGAAACAGUUUCACGAAUCGGUUGUAGAAUUCUCACUGUUUCAAGAAAA